CGUGUAGGCGGCUGAAUAAGUCAGAUGUGAAAUCCCUGGGCUUAACCCAGGACGUGCAUUUGAAACUAUUCAGCUUGAGUAGGGGAGAGGAAAGUGGAAUUCCUGGUGUAGAGGUGAAAUUCGUAGAUAUCAGGAGGAACACCGGUGGCGAAGGCGACUUUCUGGCCCUAUACUGACGCUGAGACGCGAGAGCGUGGGUAGCAAACAG
This 208-nucleotide ribosomal RNA is filed under the name uncultured Syntrophaceae bacterium. Its description in RNAcentral is "partial 16S ribosomal RNA". It matches the Rfam family "Bacterial small subunit ribosomal RNA", at positions 568 to 775 of the family's 1533-position model. Lineage: Bacteria; Pseudomonadati; Thermodesulfobacteriota; Syntrophia; Syntrophales; Syntrophaceae. The record is from RNAcentral.